Long non-coding RNA from Sipha flava (yellow sugarcane aphid), 938 nucleotides. RefSeq lists it as uncharacterized. The record is from RefSeq and is a predicted model, not a curated record. The transcript is spliced from 3 exons. NCBI's taxonomy places the organism in Eukaryota, Metazoa, Arthropoda, Insecta, Hemiptera, Aphididae.
UAACAAUAUUGUAGUGCCGUAAUAGGUAGUAUUUAUAACGACCCCCCAAUUUGAUAGAUUUAAAUCGAAAAAAAAAAGCUAUGUUCUUCAUUGUGUCAGUUUUGUCUAAAAAAACGGAUUAUGGAAAAAAAAGAAGUAGAACUGGAACAUGAGACUAUUUUAGUAUUGCGACAAGUAUUUGGAACUCUCAAAUGCAAAAAUUGAUGUACACCCAUUGUUGUAUUGGAAAGUAAUAAUUAUUAAAAUGAAUUUACGGAACAGCUGAAGAUAAGUUGGAUAAGAAGGAAAAGUUGAGGAUAAUGGGAAUUAGAUAAGUAUUAGCAAUAAUGGACUAUGGUAAUAAUAAUGACUAUAUUUUUGAUUUUAAAUUGGUAAAUACAUUGAAUGGUCGUUAAUUAUAUUCAGAGGUGUUAGGUUUCACGAAAAAAAAUUAUAGAAUAUUGGAUUUGAGAGAGAUACGUAGCACAUAGUUUGUACUACCAGGCACAAAAUAACACACUGUCAUGGUCCAGUGAUGAAUGUCGUUUAUACAAAAUUCAUUUUUAACUAUUAAGUAAUUAAAAUUAGACCAGGAAAAUUAUUUAAUAUAUGUGGAUGAAAUAAAUUAAUUUAUAUAAGAAAACAUUUAACAAAAAAUAUUUCUUCAAUUACAUAAAUGCAUACAGUAUGCGUUUGAAAUUAGAGAGAGCAAAGGAAUUUAUAAAAAAUUUAAGUAUAUUUUUAAAGGGUGAGAAUCACACAGAGAGAGGUACCCAUGAAAUAGGUAAUGAAGUUAAGUUAUGUUUUAACAAACAUGAUGAAUGCGAGAAACCUAAUAAUAAUAAUAAAAAUAACAAACCUAUCUACAAUGGUAGAAAUAAUAUAUAUUUAAUUACCAAUUAUGGGCUUCAAUCAAAAAGUAAUUGAAUCAAACACACUUUAAUUAAUUUUAUAUAUUA